UUGCACUCACACUUCCAAUGUCCUCCUCAGU
This 31-nucleotide non-coding RNA is filed under the name Rattus norvegicus (Norway rat). The record is from RNAcentral. Lineage: Eukaryota; Metazoa; Chordata; Mammalia; Rodentia; Muridae.